UCUCCUACGGGGCGCAGCAGUAAGGGAUAUUGGUCAAUGGGGGAAAGCCUGACGCAGCGACGCCGCGUGAGGGACGAAGGUCUUCGGAUCGUAAACCUCUGUCAGCAGGGAAGAACGGUCACUGUGCUAAUCAGCAGUGAAUUGACGGUACCUGCAAAGGAAGCACCGGCUAACUCCGUGCCAGCAGCCGCGGUAAUACGGAGGGUGCGAGCGUUAAUCGGAAUUACUGGGCGUAAAGCGCUCGUAGGCGGUAUGUCAAGUCAAGGGUGAAAUCCCCGCGCUCAACGUGGGAACUGCCUUUGAAA
Molecule: ribosomal RNA, 305 nt
Filed under: uncultured bacterium
Lineage: Bacteria
Description: bacterial SSU rRNA
Rfam family: Bacterial small subunit ribosomal RNA
Source: RNAcentral